This 419-nucleotide ribosomal RNA is filed under the name bacterium. Its description in RNAcentral is "partial 16S ribosomal RNA". It matches the Rfam family "Bacterial small subunit ribosomal RNA", at positions 355 to 776 of the family's 1533-position model. The record is from RNAcentral.
UGGGGGAUAUUGCACAAUGGGCGAAAGCCUGAUGCAGCGACGCCGCGUGGGGGAUGAAGGCCUUCGGGUUGUAAACUUCUUUUGCUCUGAACAAGGCGCACCAUGGGGUGUGUUGAGUGUAGGGGUUGAUUAGCGCCGGCUAACUACGUGCCAGCAGCCGCGGUAAUACGUAGGGCGCGAGCGUUGUCCGGACUUAUUGGGGGGAAAGGGCUUGUAGGUGGCUGGUUGCGUCUGUCGUGAAAGCUCAUGGCUUAACUGUGGGUUUGCGGUGGGUACGGGCUGGCGUGAGUGCAGUAGGGGAGGCUGGAAUUCCUGGUGUAGCGGUGGAAUGCGCAGAUAUCAGGAGGAAUACCGGUAGCGAAGGCGGGUCUCUGGGCUGUUACUGACACUGAGGAGCGAAAGCAUGGGGAGCGAACAGG